UACAGAGGCCUCAAGCGUUAGGCGGAAUCACUGGGCUUAAAGCGUGUGUAGGCGGGUCGUUAAGUGCCUUGUGAAAUCCCCUGGCUCAACCAGGGAACUGCUUGGCAUACUGGCGAUCUUGAGCCACCUAGGGGCAACUGGAACAGACGGUGGAGCGGUGAAAUGCGUAGAUAUGUGGAGGAAUACCGAUGGCGAAGGCAGCCCCCUGGGAUAACACUGACGCUCAUGCACGAAAGCGUGGGGAGCAAACAGG
RNAcentral lists this ribosomal RNA (253 nucleotides) under uncultured bacterium. RNAcentral describes it as "partial 16S ribosomal RNA". It matches the Rfam family "Bacterial small subunit ribosomal RNA", at positions 524 to 776 of the family's 1533-position model. The record is from RNAcentral.